RNAcentral lists this ribosomal RNA (19 nucleotides) under Acremonium sp. r209. RNAcentral describes it as "partial 28S ribosomal RNA". Lineage: Eukaryota; Fungi; Ascomycota; Sordariomycetes; Hypocreales; Bionectriaceae. The record is from RNAcentral.
GUGACCUCAGAUCAGGAGA